RNA transcript from Andrographis paniculata, 3769 nucleotides. RefSeq lists it as uncharacterized. The record is from RefSeq and is a predicted model, not a curated record. Lineage: Eukaryota; Viridiplantae; Streptophyta; Magnoliopsida; Lamiales; Acanthaceae. The transcript is spliced from 4 exons.
GAAGGAACGCAGAAGACGAAACGCGAAGGAGAAGAAGAAAGGAGAAGAAAAAAAAAAAAGGAAGAAAAAGAUUUAGCCGUCCGAUUCCAAUUCCGACUUGGGUAGCUCCUGAGAAUAAGCAUAAAGCUCAUCUGAUUUGAGUAAAUAAUGGGACAGGUGUACGUUGGAGGAGAUUUGGGUGAAGUUAUAAAAAUCCAGAAAGUAUCGGUAGGAGGAAAAAUUGGGGGCAGUAUGUCGAAUUCUCGAGGUGGUGGUGUACGUAGGGCUAUUCAAGGCCCAGAGUUUGAUCCUUCGUCUGAUGAGUCACAGUAUCCUGUGCCAGCGCAUGUACCAACAGAGGCACCUAGCCAGGAUUUCUUUCGGCAGUUUAUGGCCGCGAUGAUGCCUCAACAGAGGAGUUUCAUUGAUGCUGUGAUGCGGCAUAACCCACCAACAUAUUCUGGUUCAGUGGAGCCAGGAGUCCUUGAGUUUUGGGUUGAAAAGAUGGAAAAGAUAUUUCGUGUUGUUCAGGUUCCGUCAGAUCAACGAGUUAAUAUUGGAGCCUAUUUCUUGGAAGGCCGAGCAAAUCGGUGGUGGUUAGGUGAAGAAGCUGCAGGUGUAGACCAGGUGGAUAUGACUUGGGAUGAAUUUAAAGCAAAGUUAAAAGCUAGGUUUAUACCGUCGCAUAUUCGAAAAGCGAAGAAGCAAGAAUUGCUGGACUUAAAGCAGGGCUCGAUGUCAGUUGAGGAUUAUUUUGUGAAGUUUAAUGAGUUGAAGAUGUAUGUUCCUGACUACUUUUCCUGUGAGCGAGACAGAAUUGACCAUUUUGUAGACGGGUUGCAACACAGAAUUCAAGAAGCUUUAGCGGUGUUGGAUAUCAGUUCAUUGUAUGAGGCUUACGAGCGUGCUGCCCGAUUUUAUCAGAAGCAGGAAGUCAGACAAAAGGAGAGUGAGAAGGAAAUAGGUUAUCAACAUCAGGUUCGAGAUAAGGGAAAAGCUAAAGUGGAGGAUGAGCCCAAGGGUAAAAAGAAAUGGUGGCAAAUGUUCAGGUCUGGGCCAUCGUAUAAGGGGAUUUCGAUUAAUGAACCGAGUCAGGAGAGGUCUCAGCAAUCGGGGGCUGUUUGUCGGCGUUGUGGAACAAACCACCCAGGUACUCGUUGUGAUAAAGUUCCAUUGACAUGUUUUAAAUGUGGUGGUAGUGGUCACAUUGCCAGGUUAUGUCCAAGUGUGGUAACUGCAAGGGAGUUUCCAUAACCGAGGUUUAGGCCAUGGCAGCCGCCGUCUUCGCAGUCACAAGGGAGAGGAUUAGGAUCAUCUUGGCGAGAGGGACGAAGUCAGUCACGUUCGUCAUCUAGGCAGCCAGGCAGAGGACCUGACCAGCGUGGACGAAUAAAUGUUCUUACCCAAGCAGAAGCUGAUUAUCAUCCAGGUACGCAUGGCACCUCCGGGACAGGGGACGUCUCGGGAGAUAGAAAGACGGGCUGAAUGAGUGAACUGCAUCUGAUGUAUUAUAUGUAAAUUCUAACUAGAAAAACCUCCCGUUUUGGGAGUAUGUUUUUGUAAAUAUUUAUAAACUAUUUUUUUUUGGGAAUAAUAAAAUGCUUAUAUAAUUAAUUUUAGCCUUAACACUGUGUUGUGGGGCCCGAAGUAGGAGGUGACGACCUCAUGAUGCAGUGUGGCGGUAGCAUUUCCAGUAUGAGCCAACUGGGGGUGUUACAUAUAUUGAUUGUUACUCAUAUACCACUGCUCCCAUGGAAUGAUUGGUUAUUUAGACCUAUUACCUAGUAAUACACACCGUAACACACAAACCAAUCUUCGGUCCACUAGGGUUGAGAGAAGAAGUGCACUCACCGAAUUUCCGCAUUGGACCCUAUGUGUAGGAUUGACUUAAAUAAAUUACAUUCGAGGAUACCUGGUACUACAAAUCUAAUGCUUAUGAAAUCAUUAUUUAUACCUCUUAUAUCGAGGUUUGUACUUGGAUCACAUGGCUACAUACUGAAAUAAUAAAUGUAGAUGCCCUAGAUAAGAUAUUAUGUACCUACAAUAACAAUAAAAUAUACUUCAAUUACGAUUGCAUAUGCCCUGGUAACCUAUGGCUGGAGAACUGAUCUUUUCACUUGAAAUAUUCACUUAAUGACGGUAAUCAUGAAUGAGUUCAACCAUGGUAAUGUUUCCCGCGACACCCCAAAGUGUAUGAAAAGAUAAACAACACAUAUUUACUAUUGAUGGUUAAACAAUUCAUAAAUAACUAGUUAAGUUGUAUGAUAUAUGUAUAAUCAUAUACCUUCACUUGUAGAUGGCUAAAUAAGUCAUAAGUGAGUAAAUUUAAUUAUGUUGGUUGUUAGUAUAAAUGAUUGUUUUCAUAAAUUGAAAAUUGUUAAACCUAUUACGUAUUAAUCUACACCGUUCCAUACACAACAACAUUCGGUGAGGGGCAUACUUGCAUAGUGCAUGACUCAGCUAGGUGGGCAAGUGCUCCAGAGCGGAUCUUCCAUACCCCCAAACUCGCAUGGUGUACAAAAUCUUAGUACUUGUACCUCCUGCAGUCUUGCGUGUAACUGAACAGCUAAUCUUAUGCCAGGUCUUUGAAUUAUGUACCUUCAUAGCUCCAUUUUAGUGCCAGUGAGGAGUUAGGAUAUUGAUAGAUUCCAAAAUAGAUUAAGUCUUAAUCCUCAUAUGUAUGUUUUUAAUGGAUGUGACAUGAUGCAACACAGUAUGUUCGUGUACUUUAUGCCACAGAGAUCAUUACUUAUCAAGACCACGCUAACAUUGUUGGAUAGUAGUACACUACUAUUAGACGUGCUUCGAGAGAUCAACUAAAUACCCCCAGAUAAUUCAUGUGCUUGUGUUCAUUUAUUUGAAACCUGUGUCAUUGAAUUAUCAUACACAAACGAGAACUGUCACAUACCCAUUGUUUUUGUUCUUGUUCAUGUAUCAUCAAAACAUCCAAAUUAUAACAGCAGUUCUAUACAACUGGAAUCUUGCUAUUGUAUAUUUACUUACCUCAUUACAUUGUAUCAAUCAUGCCAAAGGUAAUUACACACCAAAAAGGACGUUCAGGACAAAAACAAAAAUUAUACCUCAAAAGGCCUACGGUACUGCAGCUUUACACAUGUUUCUAUUGAGCCCGAAAACCACAAGGAUCACAUUUUCGUGAAUUUUUUAUCUGCUGGAAGUCAUGCGUCAUUUCUUUUGACGGUCUGGUUGCACAAAUGAAAUAGGAGAUACCCAUUCUACUAUACUGAGUAUGUAUAAUAAAAUAACAACAUACAUGUACCCAAUCGUGCAUCAGAGAGGGAUAUUUUGUUGCUCAUUCAUGGACCGUGCAUUUAUGUCCACAAAAAAUUUGAGUGAUAAUUCACUACUAUGCCAACGUGCAUUGAGACAUCAACUAAAUACUCUCCCAAAUAAUUUGUGUACCCCUAUUACAUUUUCAGAAACUUGUGUCAUCAAACUAUCAUACAUAAAAAGGACUAUCACAUGCCCAUUAUUUGUGUUCAUAUACAAUAGUACAUCCAAAUUACAAUUUUGGUUCUAUCCAACCAGGCUAUUUUUGUUGUAUUUUUACCUACAUCAUUACACUAUAUCCAACACGUCAAAAGUAAUUAAAUGCUAAAAGUGACAUCCUAGACAAAAAAUAUAUAUAUACACUUUUAAAAGGUCUAUGAUACCUGCUCUUUACAACUUCUUCUUGUGUUCGAGACGGCUACAACGAAUCUUAGACAAAACAAAUAUCGAAUCAUUAGCUUACUUAUACUAAGUGGUCUGCAAAAGGUUUAUGGCUAAAGGG